GUCGGCUGUGCUUCUUCCCCUUGUCUACAUGGUGCGACCUGCACGGACGUGGCCGAUUCUUACACCUGCGCAUGCGUGGCUGGAUGGGAAGGAAAUGACUGUGAAACAGACAAGAACGAGUGCGACACAGUCAUCUGCAACUCUGGCUAUGUGUGCGUGAAUCAUCCCGGUUACUACGCCUGCCUUCCUCAAGCUUUGAAUGUGAGCAGCAGAAAUCGUAACCGAUCUGUUUGCGGUCCAGAGUCGUGUAAAGACGGCUGGUCCUGUACGGUCCGUGGGUUUGGCUACGCCUGCCACCCGAACCUGUAGGGCUGAUACCGCAAUCAGUCCUCGAUAGGAAAGCAUGUUAAAAUGCACUAACUUCAAUUUCAAUCUUAGAAUUUUUUUUCUCCACCAGACAGUCACAAGCUUAAGGGUCAUGUUUAUAAUCAUUAAAAAAAGGGUCAAACUCCAAGGAAUCCAUUUCAUCCGUCCGGUCAAUCCAUUUGGCUGAAGUAAAAUAGGACGUUACCUGGAUAAAACACACA
Molecule: long non-coding RNA, 527 nt
Organism: Branchiostoma floridae (Florida lancelet)
Lineage: Eukaryota; Metazoa; Chordata; Leptocardii; Amphioxiformes; Branchiostomatidae
Exons: 3
Source: RefSeq, a predicted model, not a curated record